CCUGGCUUCAGAGAUUUUUAACGGGGCUUGUAGAAGCGGGGUACGAGCAUCAGGCCCUAUGGCAGCCUGUUUAGAAAACAACUAAUUAACUGCUGUAUCUGGUGAGCACUUGCUGUGUACUCGGCCCUGGAGAAGCCUAGGGGAGGUGCAAGAGUAAAAUCGGGGCUCUCUGGGUUGGGGAAAGAAAACAUCCCCAAAUAACAGACUUAUUUACAAAGAUGUGGCCCGGUGCUCAGAGCGAAGAUAAUGAGGAUCUCUGUGGGCUGCCACUUCCAGAGGAGGUGGCGUGUGGGUGGAGCCUGGAAGAGCCAGAAUAUUUGCGUUGGCUGAGAUAAAAGGGAAGGGGAUGGAGGGAGCCAAGGGAGCCAGGUGAGGGUGGUGUGGCCUUGGCCUCAGGAAUUGGAGGUAGCUUGUUCACGCUCCAGAUCAGGGGCUCUGGAAGGAAGGUGCAGUGAAUGGAAGUCUGACUUGGUUUUUGGACACGAGCAAAACAGGGUUCCCUCAAAACCAGGGCAUUUCUAGCUCCCGUGGCAUGAACGAGUACUGUAAGUGUGGCAGUAAUGCCUCAGGGUACCGAGUGCUCAGACGUGGGCGUGGGCUAACUGUGCAGCCGUGCUUCCGUGCCCUGAUGGGACAGGGCAGGGUCCUUCCACCAUGCCCACAAUCCCCACCUGACUGGGGAGGUCCACAGCCCCUAGCCUCCGUCGGCCACGUGUGCCCCCACACCCCUGGUCCCUGGCCUGCCCGACCGCCAGCCACCAUGUCGCUGUUUCUCCUCACCCCUGCUCUGGGGCCGUGCCGUCGGCACAGAAGGAUUCGUGGAGCACAGAAGGAUCCACGUCCUCGGCCUGUGGCAGAGGCUCAGCCCCGCAGCAGCACAGGUGUGUGUGAGACGCCCUUCGCCAUGCUCGGUGCACAGGGCGAGAGGAACUCCGUGAAGUGCCUGGGCCAGAAGCCUGGGAGUAGCUGUCUCCUGACUCCUGUUUGUGUGGGAGAGCCAGAACACACAGUUGUCCUGGAGUAAAGAUCCAGCUCAGACUAUAGGAUUGGCGUUAAAGGGAGUCUAGAGAGAGGGAAACCGAGGCACAGGUUAGCAGAGCAAGGCCAGGGGUCCCUGUGUGUCCUGACUCCCAAGAGAAGCUAAAACACAUUCAGGGUAUCACGCGUGCCGGCCGCUGUGCUUUGCUCCGAUAGAGUGUGUGAGCCCCUGAGCAGUCCUGGGAGGGAGGUGGCGGGUUGUGUUGUACAGACUGAAGCUCUGAGAGAGAAAUCACAUGAGCAGUGACUGGGGAGUCAGUAUUUAUGUGUUGCUCUGACUCUGGAGCUCAUGCUCUUAAUCACCUUUCCUCCCAGACUUUGCUAAAACUCUCCUCCUACCACUGUGCACCAGGAGGAGUUAAGUUCUUUAUGGAACCGAACUGGGGGUCGUUAUGCCAGGAAAUGUGUUUGAUGUGAUGGAGGCAAGGUGUGUCCUUGGGGUGUUUCACUGGCUGGGAGCUGGGGGUGCCCCAAGCAUUAGCAGUUGGAAGUUGUUGCUGUCUGUCAUGAACAACAGCUGUGUUGAUGCCAGGCCUUCCCUGGUCUUGUGGAUGUUGCUCCAGUUGCUGGCUCCUCUCAGAGAACUAGUCCCCCAGAUCAAUGGACCAGAAGCCCAUGUGGGAAGAGAUGCUGGGGUUUGUGCUGCGUGUGAGUCAUCAGUCUGGCGUGGCUGCCAGAAAGGCAGGCACCACCUUGGCCUGCCUCCAAGGGACGGGGUGCCCAUAUCGGGGAGGCAACGGGCCUGCUCUGCUGUGACCCCGCUGGGGUACAGGGUUCCCAGAUGGCUGUCUCCCUUGGGGAUCCAGACGAGGGAAGGGCUGGAAUCAAAGGAGAGGUGCUGAGGACCUACAAACCAUGGCUGAGGAGUGUAGAGGUGGGCUGCUUUCGCCUGCAAGAGUCUGAAACCCACAUCAGCCUGCUAAGCCAGAAAGGGAAUAUACGUUACAGGGUUACACUCCACGGGCUUAGACCAUGCUGUCCCUGGUCUACCUUCCUUGGUGUGCAGGCUGCCUCCACAUGGCCAGGGAAGGUGGCCCCUGCAAAUCCAGGUUCAUUUCCUCCCGGCCUCACCUCCCCUCAGAGUGAAGGAGAGGUCCCUCAGGGAGGGCAUGCUGGGCAGAAGCAAGAACCACAGCGGCGAGCACAGCUCCAGUGCAGAAUGUCAGAGGUUAGGUCAAUUCAGGGGAGACAUAGACAGUCUGUAAAGCUCUGAACUAUUUCCAGGUGCCCUCUGUGGCCCUAAGGGAGAGUUAGGACAAGUGGAGAGUAGCUAGAAGUAGACGGGUUUCCGUUUAGUAGGAAAGAGAUUUUUCUAAAAGGGCCACCCCAGGUCACGGUGGACUCUCCACCACGGUGCAGCUGAGGCCAGAGGAGCACUGGGUGGGAUGAGCAGCUGGAUCAGGAGCACCCUGAGGCCACUGGCUCCUGCCAGCAGUUCUCAACCUGUGGGUCACGACCCCUGAAAAUACAUCCUGCAUAUCAGAUAUUUACAUUACGAUUCAUAACAGUAGCAAAAUUACAGUUAUGAAUUUGCAACGGAAAUAAUUUUAUGGUUGGGGUCACCACAACAUGAGGAACUGUAUUAAAGGGUCACGGCAUUAGGAAGGUUGAGAACCACUGUCAGCUAGACACAAUGAGCGGACGCUGAGUCGGGCGGGGGCCCCUGAGACGCAGGCCUCUGUGGACACAAUUGAAUGGGCCUGGGCAUGGAGAUCAUGACAGGCACAGUCCCCACGGUCACCAGCUCCUUGUGAGAUGUCCCUCCCGGGUCCUUUCGGGGGAGGAAGGAGGUUGGCCUAGAGUUCCCCUCGUCUCUGCCCUUUGGCCACAGACUUAAGGAUCAGAGCCCAUCAUCCCCUCCAUCAGCGAUGCUCAGCUUCCGGAAUCAGGGUGUGGUGAUGUGGGGUUUUUUCUUCCUGAAAUGAGCAUUCCUGCUGCGGUGCCAAGCGAUCCCACAAAGGUGCACGCCACUGUCUUAGAAGACACUUUGUUUAAUGUUCUUUUGGGAAACAUUUACUUCUCUGGCGUUUUAGCUGGCGGUGCCACGGUGGAAAGGGAUCCACAUAGAUUAGGCGUCUCUCUCUGCCUGGCAGUGUUUGGGCACCUGGUGUUCUUAUCUCACUUAAUCCUCUCAGCAUCCUUGAGCAACGCAAUAGGAAUUAUUAUCCCCACCUUAUCAACCAGGAAUCCACGUAUCAGAGGGGUGACUUCUGCAGUCACACGGCUGGGAUUCAACCCGCUGACUCACUGCACACCUGCCACCUUCCUUCCGUGUACCAUGCAGUUCACCUGCCCUAAAGUUGCAUUCGCUGAAUUGUACUUCUGGCAUCGAAGUUCUGCACUUUAAGACCCUACACCCCGGCUGGGUCUGCAGGGGGGCGUGGGGGUUCCCUGUUGUUGACAGCUUGAACUGUUUUUCGCAGCCAUGAAGCACAGCUGGGACGGGAGGCAGAGGGGAGGGUGUCUGCCAGCUGCUCAGCUGAUGCCUUUGUGGGUAGAGUAGGUAGCAGUCAGCUCCAGAAAGGUGCUUGUCCCUGGUGAGGGGCAUGUCACCAGUGGCUCCAGGUGCCUGGCUCCCAGGCCCUUUCUGACGGUUUGAGCCUGUGAUCAGGGCUUCCCUGUUCAGGUCUGUUCCACAGUCAGCGUCCAGAGCGAAGUUCCUCAUGGUGUGAUCUGGGCACCACCUGCUGCAGGACCCCCUGGGAGCUCGAUAAAUCAUUGCAAGUCUGGGAUUCUGCUGAAUUAGAAUCUCUGGAGAUGGUGCCCAGAAUUCUUUUUUAAAAAUCAAGCUUUGCAGCAGUUCUUGUGCAUAUGAAGUUUGAGGUCUGUUGUUCUGGAGAAGAGCUUAUAAACUCUGGCCAUGAGCCAGAACAACCCGGGGAGCUCUUUAAUUGAGCAUCACUGCUUGGGUCCCAUCCCUUAGCGCAGUGGUUCUCAACCUUCCUAAUGCAGCGACCCUUUAAUACAGUUCCUCAUGUUGUGGUGACCCCCAACUUCAUUGUUACAAAUGGAACAUAAUUAAAGCAUAGUGAUUCAUCACAAAAACAAUAUGUAAUUAUAUUUGUGUUUUCCGAUGGUGUUAGGCGACCCCUGUGAAAGGGUUGUUCGACCCCCAAAGGGGUCGCGACCCACAGGUUGAGAAUCGCUGCCUUAGCGGCUCUGAUUGAAUUGAUUGCACUCAGGUAUUGCUCUUAAAAACCAACAAAAUCUCCCUCAGUGUUUCUGAUGUGUAGCCACGGUUGAGGGAUAUUGUUUCAAAGCACUGGUUCUGGAAGUGUGAUGCCAGGCCAGCGGCAUCAGCAAUGCCAGGGAAUUUGCCGGAAAUGCAAAAUCCUGAGGCCCGAGGCCUACCCCAGACCAGCUCCAGCUCGGUGAGGACUGCUGGGGGUGGGGCCCAGCAGAGCUGUAUACAGGGACAGGAAAAGUAUGCUUACAGUUGUUUGUAUGGAGAAAGAUGCAGGUUGUAGCUUUAGUCACACAAAAGAAUGUUACUCACAACUGUAAACCUACUUUUGCCCACCCCUGCAUUAACAAGCCCGCCGGGUAGUUCUGAAGCACCAUAAUGUUUAAGAGCCACCGUUGUGGAGUCUUCGUUCCCAAUCCUGGCUGCACAUUAGAAUCCCCCAGGAGGGCUUUUGAGCGUCCCAAUGCCCGGGCCCCGCCCCAAACCAGCUACAUUCGAGUCUCUCAGACUGGGACUCGGGCAUCAGUAUCUGUUCAGGUUUCUGAGUCAUUGCAAGUGCUCCAGCCAGGGUUGAGACCCACUGUCUGAGCCGGUGAGGACAGUCUUCCCUCAAAGCAGCUGCCAGCACUGGGAUCCUGGGUGAGACAUGGUGCCUUAGCUGCAGGUGCAGCACACUGUGGAGGUGAGGGUCUGCAGGACUAAGGAUGGCACCGCUCUAAAUGACAGUGUGUGAUGAGGGAGGACGAAGGAGACGGCAAAGUUGCUUCUCGAAGAACCCAGGAUCAAGUGGGCACGGAGCUCGGCUCUCACGUAAACAAGCCUGCACAGAGGUCCUUCAGGCAGAGCUUACCAUCUCCUGUUUUAUAGACGAGGGAACUGAACUCCAGAAAGGCCCGCCAGCUGGGAAGCCAGCACGAGGACUGAGUCCCAGUCACUGGACCGCAUAUAACACAUCCUCCUUCAGGGUCCCCUUGCCCAUUCCCCAAAUUCUGGCUCCUUCAAGUGUUGUUUGAUGUCUCACCUGUGACGUUUUGUUGUGUUUGCCUUUCUGUUUGGAACAGAUAAAAAAUAACGAACCUUUGAUCAACGUGCUUUACAGAGUGCUGAAGAAGUCAGCACAGGGCUGGCGGCCCAGGAGACGCGUAAGAUGAUCUGACCUGUGUCUCCAGGCGGGGCCAUCCCAUGCUUCUGGCUCAGUGCCAUUCCAUCACGUGCUUAACCAGGAGCUCUCCUGGCCACCCCAGGCUUCCUGCCAGUCGUUUCUGUUUAUUUGCUUUCUCUUAAGCUCCUGUCAGCGUGUUGGCUGGUGCACCAGGCUGAGCCUCUCAUCCGUACUGUCCUGUGAUUCCAUCUUUUGUGCUGCCACAGGGUGGCGGGGUGGGGACGGGGGCUCACCCAGCUUUGCUUUCAGCUUGUGUCAUGUCCCAUUCUCCCUCAUCUGCCUCCACAGCGAGGCCUGGCCUAGACAGAGACCAGCAUGGCCUGGGUAGUCGAGCGUGAGCCUGGGGAGGGAGCGGUUGUUCCUGGUCAUCUUGGAGGAGCUGGGUGUCCUCGGAGUCCACCGUGGACCUGCAUUAAAUUAAGGUGGCUCUUCUUCGGGGCAGGGUGUGAUGUCUGGAGCUGGACUAGAACAAAAUAGGACCUCCCACCCCUCGCUUUGACCGAUGCAGAAGUAGCGCCUGGAACACGGCCAGCUUUUGUCGCUUUCAAGGGAGGAUGCGGGUUGUGAGGCAGGUGCUACCCCUGGUCAUCCUGAGCCCUGAGAAGGGGUCCCUGGGAGGUGGUGGAGGGGAGUAGGAGGGCUGGGUCACCUUCAGUGCCUUUCUGAUGCAGACACCAUUUGAACCGACACUUGAUGUCGUCAGUGGAUUUAAACAUUGCUAACACAAAGCACAGUCUUAAAAGGGGAAGUAGAUGUCAUACACUUCUUGCGGAUAUUUCAUAGUCGUCUCGGCUCUCCGGGACAGCUAAAUUCAGAAGCUUCAAGGGCCUCUGAGCUGUGUGAACUCGAUCACAAAGCCCAGCUCUAACACCUGUGGCCGGGCCCUGAGCACAGCCAGCUCACCUGGUUUUGUUGCGAUCACAGACUCACUAAGCAAACAUUUCCCAAAUAUCCUCAGUGUGAUGGGCCCCGGCUGGGCUUUGAGGAUGCAGAGAAAGUAGGUCACAGUCUGACAGUCACCCCUAAUUGGGUUAGUUCCUAGUGAGGGGAGACAGAACGUUUCAUCUGAUGUACUAAGGCCCUUGUUGUGGGAGACACAGGUGUGGGACCAUCUCCCUGGAAGGGCACCAAACCCAGCUACAGGGAGGGAGACGGGAAAACAGCAAGAAUGUCACCUGCAUUGGAUUUCUAAUCCUAAGAGACUCAGUCCGAGUUUGAAUUCCUAACUCACAGCACCUUAAGAGCAGCUCAUUGAAAGGGCACAAGGGAAAGUUACUUCUUUGAAAAGAAGGAGUGCUAAUACCCCAAGAGAGAAAAAGAAACAUUACAUGUCCAUCUAAAAUGGACAUGAAAUCACAGAAAUUUGGGAGCACUUAAUCAAGGGCCAAUAGCUUCUAAGAAAUUCUAUAUUACUGAUUUUUUAUAAUGAUUGACUCGUCCCCCCAUAAACGGUUGAAUAUAUAUAUAUAUUCAUCAUUCUGUGAUGGCAGUGAAGGGCAUACUUUUCGUAAGCACUCCACCAAAAAAAAAUUGAAAAGGUUCGGCUUUCUCAAAAUGCCCUUUUUGUGUAGAAUCCCUCACUUAAUUCCUGGUGGUGCUGGAUAAACGAGGCAUCGCUCAAUUAGAUUCUCUGCCUCACUAUUUCAGUAUCGAAAAGAUCUCAUCUGUAAAAAGCUUCAGUGAUAAACGGGGAAGAGUUUUGCCGGGAGGAAAAGUCCCCAAAGCAUAUCUCGUUUUGAACAUGAUUUCUUCCUGGGAAAUGAGCCGAGCGUCAGCCCCGUGGAGGCUAGGCAAGCUCUGCCCUCUGCUUUGAUGAAGGACUGUGCACAGAGUGAAGACUCCACUGCGUUCACCUGCUGGGUUCCCCUGAGUUUAAAGGCCCAAGUCCUACCUGGGAAGUUCAGCUGUUUGUGGCUCACCAGGAUUAAUUCCACCGCCUCCCUCUCCCCUUCUGCCUGUUUGUUUGUGGAUUGUUGCUGGAGUCGGUGUGUUCCGUGACUGUGUGUAUACGUGUAUGUACACAUCAUCUGUCAGUUUGAAGAGCAGAAUUUGGCUGAAGUCCCAUUUUUUUCCAGGAACUCAACAGCACUGACUUACCAGUAUUUCCCUUUGACCUACUUGCGAUGCAAGGAGCCUUUGUCAAGUCCCCUUCAGUGCCAGGCCUUGUGUUCGGGGCUGACUUUACUGAGAUAAAUAAGACAGUGGUCCCUGCCCUCUACUGUGUGGCCAAAGGGAGCCUGGGAAUGGGUGGGGGCGGGUCUGCAGUCCUCAGGCCAAGGCAUGGAUGGAGAAGGCAUUCUCCUUUGACCUUGACCUUUGCUGAUAAUGAUUGUCAAGGAGAGGGAGUAUAGGACAGUUGGACACAUGGGGGGGGGGGGCUUGAGUUCUGAAGGAAAUGCUUGCCAAUAUAUUUCUAUUUCUGAUUCACAUUCACAAACUUCGUGGACCUUCCAGAUGGAGUAGGGAGAAAGCAAGGGCCAGCAGCUGUCUGUCCAUCCACACUGGGACACACCACCACCUAUCUAGGCCAUGGUUAGCUACGCCCUGUUUCCCUGGUCAGAUCUGCAAAAUGGAGUUCCCUAAGUGGGGGUGGGGGGGGGCACAUUCAACUGGGCGGUUCCUGCCCAUGGCUUGGCCAUAGGGAGAGGGCAUCUGUGUAAGCCCCCUCGCUUCCCCCUGCACAGCUUUCGGCAAGAAAUGAUAUUUAGGGAAAUGAAAACAUAGGCUAAAGAGUUAGGUUUAGCUUCAUAGGGGUCAGGGAGGGAUGGGAAACUUGUUGCCCACGUUGGGUCAGGCGGGGAUGGGAAAUGUGAAAUUCCACCUGCCCAUAAGUUUGGGUGAUUUUUGUUUAUUGCUUUGUGGCUUCCUGUCUUGAGAGGACGGGGUAAUAUACAAGUACGGCCCAACAUCAGUUAUUUCAGGAUCACUUGAAAACCCCAACCAGGAAUUACCCAGGUUCCUUCUUCCCUUGGCCAGGUCCUCUUCCCAGAUAGUUAGAGUGGGGAAGGCUGACCUUACUCACGGGAGGUGGGCUGCUCAGACACUUCCUGAAGCUAAGGCUUGGCAUUGUCCCGGGGAUUCGCUCAUUCCUCCUGGUCCACCCACCCCACUGCCCUGGACUUCAGGCACUUGUGUUUGACUCCAGAUUCAGUAGGAAAACUCUCUUGUCAGUGACAAAUCUUCCAAGAUUCAUACUGAUUUUGAGCAAAUAGAAACUGCUGUAGUUGACGAUGCUAUAAUUUGAAUAUCUGCGUUCCCUUUAGUUUGAGAAAUUUACAAGUGCUACUAGAAUCUUGAAAAGGUUUCAGUUUUUUCCUAAAAUGAAAUAGGCAUGAAAAUGAAGUAGAUAGUGCCUCAGUUUUGCCCCUCCUGUGCUGUGACCCUGCCUGCCGCUGCCAAGACUUCCACACCCAUCCAUCGCGGGGCUCACUUUCCUUCUGGAGUUUGGAUCCCAAACCCUGUGGUUAAAUCUCCUUCACCUUGUUCAC
Molecule: long non-coding RNA, 8872 nt
Organism: Myotis daubentonii (Daubenton's bat)
Lineage: Eukaryota; Metazoa; Chordata; Mammalia; Chiroptera; Vespertilionidae
Exons: 3
Source: RefSeq, a predicted model, not a curated record